RNAcentral lists this long non-coding RNA (252 nucleotides) under Lathyrus oleraceus (garden pea). Its description in RNAcentral is "Pisum sativum (pea) long non-coding RNA (PSAT_LNC013626)". Lineage: Eukaryota; Viridiplantae; Streptophyta; Magnoliopsida; Fabales; Fabaceae. The record is from RNAcentral.
CUAUUUAUUUUUGUUGUUUUUCAUAACUUCAAAGUCUCAUAACUUGAUGAUCCCUAAGCCUUUUUGAGCCACUCGUUUUUCUAUAUGUUCCUAAUUUUGUCUAUUUUAUGAUGGUAAAAAGAAAUUCCAUAAUUGAUUUAUUUUUAACAUACUUAUGCUUGUCUAAAGUUGGUACCUUUUUAGGAUUGUUUUAGGGUUUCAAAUGACCUUCUUUGGUUGAUACUUUAAUUUUUCUUGAUCACCAUGACUUGU